UGCGGUAUACUGAUGAGUCC
This 20-nucleotide microRNA is filed under the name Gyrodactylus salaris (gyrodactylosis fluke). Its description in RNAcentral is "gsa-miR-9390-5p". The record is from miRBase by way of RNAcentral. Lineage: Eukaryota; Metazoa; Platyhelminthes; Monogenea; Gyrodactylidea; Gyrodactylidae.